Molecule: ribosomal RNA, 253 nt
Filed under: uncultured bacterium
Lineage: Bacteria
Description: partial 16S ribosomal RNA
Rfam family: Bacterial small subunit ribosomal RNA
Source: RNAcentral
UACAGAGGUCUCAAGCGUUGUUCGGAUUCAUUGGGCGUAAAGGGUGCGUAGGCGGCGCGGUAAGUCGGGUGUGAAAUCUUGGAGCUUAACUCCGAAACUGCAUUCGAUACUGCCGUGCUUGAGGACUGGAGAGGAGACUGGAAUUUACGGUGUAGCGGUGAAAUGCGUAGAUAUCGUAAGGAAGACCAGUGGCGAAGGCGGGUCUCUGGACAGUUCCUGACGCUGAGGCGCGAAAGCCAGGGGAGCAAACGGG